Non-coding RNA from Paramisgurnus dabryanus, 1017 nucleotides. NCBI's taxonomy places the organism in Eukaryota, Metazoa, Chordata, Actinopteri, Cypriniformes, Cobitidae. The record is from RefSeq and is a predicted model, not a curated record.
UUACAUGAGGGUGAGUAUGACACAUGGCAUACCAGAAAAUGGCCAUGUGCUUUCACACAAAACAUGCCUCUCAUGGUCAUGCUUUUUCUAGUUUUGUGUCAGGAUCAUGGCAGUCCCAUGUUUUGUGUGGAAGCACAUGGCCGUAGCCUAUUUUGGCGUGCCAUGUGCUCUCCGGUCUCCUGUCAAGACCCCACCCCCUCGUCUCCUCAUUAAUUAUCUCAUUAUUUUUUUAAUUCCCCUCACCUGUUGCCCUCAUAAUUUGUUCCUUCAUUUAAAACCUGUGUGUUUGCCGUCCUGUGCUUGUUUGUUUUGGAGAGAUCUGCAUCUUUUCCUGUUUAGUUAUGUAUUUGUAAAGUUUCAGCUGUUUCGUCCACGUGGGUUUUUUCUUUUUAUCAAUCAAAUUUUGUGUUAAGCAAUGUUUUCUGCGCCUGGGUUCUGUCUAGUAAACCCUGACAAAAUGGAGGAACCAUUUGUUCACAUACUUCCUGCAGCUAAAGGAUCUUCAUCUCUUCUCUAAGAGCUCCCAGCCUCUGUAUCCUUCUCUGAAGCUCCUGCCUGAGCUGAUCCUUCUCCGCCUCAACGAUCUGGUUUACUCACGACAAUGCAAUUCAAAGUUCACAGAAGAUGUUUGAAAGCGCAACAUCUCACCCGUCUUUGAGAAACUGUCUCCUCCAGCUGCCGAAGCUCCUCGCUGACUCUGAGAAUUUGCUUUUCUUUUUCUUCGAUUUCUUCAUGUAAUUGCUGCAAUCGCUCCUCAGCUUAAAACAAAUCAUAUGUUAGGAAAAGUGCAGAGAUGUUUUACAGUUACUUCAAAAAAUAUUUUGAUAUUUAAGGCACUAUUAAAAAAAAUCUAUGAAGGCCAUAGAUCAGGGGUUUUCAAACUUUAUGAUGUUAAGGACCCCCAAAUAUGAUGAACCUUUUGUGUGGAACCAUACCUAAAAAAUAAUUUAUGUAUAACAAAUACAUGCUGGAUGUAUAAACAUUCAAAUAUAGAUUUUCAAUUCAAAUGUAUUUGUA